Molecule: ribosomal RNA, 500 nt
Filed under: uncultured bacterium
Lineage: Bacteria
Description: partial 16S ribosomal RNA
Rfam family: Bacterial small subunit ribosomal RNA
Source: RNAcentral
AACGAACGCUGGCGGCGUGCCUAACACAUGCAAGUCGCACGAGAAAGUCCUUCGGGAUGAGUAGAGUGGCGCACGGGUGAGUAAUGCAUGGGAACGUGCCUCUAAGAGGGGGAUAACUACGGGAAACUGUAGCUAAUACCGCAUAGAAUCGAGAGAUUAAAGGUGGCCUCUGCUUGCAAGCUACUACUUAGAGAUCGGCCCCUGUCCCAUUAGCUAGUUGGCGGGGUAAGAGCCCACCAAGGCGACGAUGGGUAGCUGGUCUGAGAGGAUGACGAGGCAGACUGGAACGGGGGCACGGUCCAGACUCCUACGGGAGGCAGCAGUGGGGAAUUUUGGACAAUGGAUGAAACUAUGAUGCAGCAACGCCGCGUGAGUGAUGAAGGCCUUUGGGUUGUAAAGCUCUUUCGGUUGAGAAGAAGGGUGGUAUGGCUAAUAUCUUUACCAUUUGACGGUAUCAAAAGAAGAAGCACCUGCUAACUUCGUGCCAGCAGCCGCGGUAA